AGAGGGUGAUCGGCCACAUUGGGACUGAGACACGGCCCAAACUCCUACGGGAGGCAGCAGUGGGGAAUAUUGGGCAAUGGAGGAAACUCUGACCCAGCAACGCCGCGUGGAGGAAGAAGGUUUUCGGAUCGUAAACUCCCGUCCUUGGAGACGAGUAGAAGACGGUAUCCAAGGAGGAAGCCCCGGCUAACUACGUGCCAGCAGCCGCGGUAAUACGUAGGGGGCAAGCGUUGUCCGGAAUAAUUGGGCGUAAAGGGCGCGUAGGCGGCUCGGUAAGUCUGGAGUGAAAGUCCUGCUUUUAAGGUGGGAAUUGCUUUGGAUACUGUCGGGCUUGAGUGCAGGAGAGGUUAGUGGAAUUCCCAGUGUAGCGGUGAAAUGCGUAGAGAUUGGGAGGAACACCAGUGGCGAAGGCGACUAACUGGACUGUAACUGACGCUGAGGCGCGAAAGUGUGGGGAGCAAACAGGAUUAGAUACCCUGGUAGUCCACACUGUAAACGAUGAAUGCUAGGUGUAGGGGGUAUCGACCCCUUCUGUGCC
This 538-nucleotide ribosomal RNA is filed under the name uncultured bacterium. RNAcentral's name for it is "bacterial SSU rRNA". It matches the Rfam family "Bacterial small subunit ribosomal RNA", at positions 295 to 847 of the family's 1533-position model. The record is from RNAcentral.